This is an RNA transcript of Sapajus apella (tufted capuchin), 5624 nucleotides long. It is a transcript of the gene named elastin-like, with no coding region annotated. NCBI's taxonomy places the organism in Eukaryota, Metazoa, Chordata, Mammalia, Primates, Cebidae. The record is from RefSeq and is a predicted model, not a curated record. The transcript has 3 exons.
AUGACCCAAGGAGAGCAAGCGCGGGGAGACGGAGGUGGUGACCCUUCCCUCCCCUGGGGCCCGAUCGUGAGGGUCGGUCUCUUUUCUUUCGGACCCUUACCUUGUCCCAGGCGCUGCCGGGGCCUGGGCCCGGGCCCGGGCUGCGGCGCACGGCACUCCCGGGAGGCGGCAGGACUCGAGUUAGGCCCAACGCGGCGCCACGGCGUUUCCUGGCCGGGAAUGGCCCGUACCCGUGAGGUGGGGGUGGGGGGCAGAAAGGCGGAGCGAACCAAAGGCGGGGAGGGGGGAGGGCCAGGGAAAGAGGAGGGCCGGCACUACUGUGUUGGCGGACUGGCGGGACUGGGGCUGCCGGCGGCGGCGGCGGCGGCGGCAGCUCACUCAGCCCGCUGCCCGAGCGGAAACGCCACUGACCGCACGGGGAUUCCCAGCGCCGGCGCCAGGGGCACCCGGGACACGCCCCCUCCCGCCGCGCCAUUGGCCUCUCCGCCCACCGCCUCUCACCCAUUGGUCCGCUCGCCGCCAAUCAGGGGAAGCCGUCGGGGCCGCCUAGAGAAGAGGCUGUGCUCUGGGGCUCCGGCUCCUCAGAGAGCCUCGGCUAGAUGGCGUAUUCUGGUUGGAGUAAAGCGCCUGUCAGUUAACAGCGUCGGGAGUGCGCAGCCGCCUAGCGACCCUCGUGUUGCCCCCUGGGUGGGGCGGGUAGGUAGGUGGGGUGGGGAGACGCUGGGUGUGCGGGCGCGGCCGGCUUCCCGCGGCGGGAGGGGAGGGUCAGUGAAAGUGGCUCCGGCGUGGGCGUCCUCUCUCACCCUCCCCUUCCUUCGGGGGAGUCGGUUUACCCGCCGCCUGCUUCUCCUUCGACACCUGAUUGGAUGCCGAAGCUGGGGGACCGGGCUCAUGCUACUGGCUCGAGUCCCACAUGAGCGAAACCACUGCGCGGGGCGCGGGGGUGGCGGGGAGGCGGGCAUUGGUACGGUCCUCCACGAGGCCCAGCGCCGCAGUGUCUGGCCCCGCGCCCCUGCGCAACGUGGCAGGAAGCGCGCGCUGGAGGCGGGGGCGGGCUGCCGGCCGAGACUUAUGGAUGGCGGCGGCGGCGGCCGCGGUUCCGCCCCUGGUCCCCGCUGCCUGAAGGGCGAGACAAGCCCGACUUGCUACGGGCACUCGUGGGGGUGGGGGAGGAGCGGGGGGGUCGGUCCGGCCAGUUUGUAGGUGGGAGGUGCAUGUUCUCCAAAUACCGGCGCGAGCUGCAAUCCUGAGGGAGCUGCGGUGGAGGAGGCGGAGAGAAGGCCGCACCCUUCUGGGCAGGGGGUGGGGAGUGCCGCAAUACCUUUAUGGGAGUUCUCUGCUGCCUCCGGUCUUCUAAGGACCGCCCUGGGCCUGGAAGAAUCCCUCCCUCCGCUCUCUCAGCCCCCCUUGAUCUCGUCAUCGCCUCCAUGUCGAGUCGCUUCUCGAUUAUGGGCGGGAUUCUUUUGCCUAGGCUUGAAGGGGCUAGCUUGGUACCUGGGCGUUGCCCUGCAACGGAGUGAGCAGGUGUUAAGAUUUGAGGGGCGAGUCGGAUUAUCUUCCCACGGACUUGAGUUGGUGUGGAGGUGGUUGUAAUAAGGGUGGGGUAGGGAAAUGGAGCCUAGGCAUUCACCUGGGGCUGAUUUUAUGCAACGAGACUGCAGGUUAUCACUAAGAUCGUUUUUUGGAGCAUUUUUCUAGAAAUAGAGAUAAAUUAAGGCAUAAUCACCUGAGUUUUACGCCAUUUGCGACCCUUGCUGCACCACCAAAGUAUAGCAUCUGAUUAAAUCGUAACGGAAAAAUUUUAGCCUUUGCUUCAGAAACCAGUGCUUCCCUCUCUCCACCUCUCUCCCCAGGCUCUCCCCUCUGCAUUCCUACCAGGCAUCUUAGGAACUCUCACUCAUAACGUUGAUCCCAUUUUCCAUUUGUUGUACUUGCUUAUCCAGUAUUCAGACAUAUCGCUGGCUUUCUCUCUCUCUUGAUCUUGGGUAGCCUGGUGAUUCAUGAAACCAGACAGAUUGGUUCCACCACAAAUUAAAGCUUGAGCUGGGGCUUGACUCUUACCCAUCAGCGCUUUUAUUCCUCCCUUGUUCACGUUCUUGAAUGUUUACCUUGGUUUUAAUUUUAUCCUUUUUCCUUUGUUGGGAUUCUAUCCCGACCCUCUUCGCAGUCCAGGUGGUCUUGACUACUGCUUUACAGAGAAUUGGACCUGAGGUUAGGUAGCAUCUCCCUUUCUCUUCCUCUAAAUACCUCUGGAGCCAUCCCUUCAUUUCUGGUCUCAUCAGUUAGUAACUAACCUCAGAUGCCAGUAUGAUAGCUUCCAGAUUGCUGGCUCUGUUUAGUGUUAUCUUCUGAUCCAUCUUAUAUCUUGUCAGGAAGAUUGUCGUGAAGGAAGAUAGAGCAUGAAAAUGACAGAUGAAUCUCCAUUAGUGGUUUGUAUUGUAAUGGAGUAAACUCCUUUACUUGCUUGUAUAUUUCAACAUUCCUUGUAAAAGAAAAACCUGAAGUUUACAGCAAAUUGUCCAAGCCGCGGGCCGCAUGGGACCCAGGACGGCUUUGAAUGCGGCCCAACAGAAAUUCGUAAACACUUAAAAUGUUAGGAGAUUUUUUUGAGGGUGUUUUGUUUUUUUUUUUUGAGGGGGGCUCAUCAGCCAUCCUUUAUGUGUGGCCCAGGGAAGCCAAAAGAUUGGACACCCCUGGUUUAUAGGAUGAAUUCUGCCCUUGUGAUUGUGAUGCACAAGGUCCUUGGAUAGACUUAAUUUAACCUUUUUCAUUUUUCACCGUUUUCCACGUAUUACACAAACAUUAUCUCUCUCUUGAAGUCACAUGGAAUACACUGCAGUUACCCAAAUCAUAGAGGCAUUGACAGUGGAGUGGUUCUUUCUGGAAUGCUACCCUUGCUGCUUCUAAUCCUGCAGAUUCAGGUGUCAUCCCCUCUCUCAUUUGGUCAUGCCUUUCAUGGUCUGUUGUCCUAUGAGCCAAACUCCCCUAUUAAAAAAGCAGUUUUCUCCUGACUUCUGAGCAGUUUGUACUGCAUGACUCAUAGUACUUCUCAGGUUGUUGUCAUUGUUGAUUUAAAUUAACUAUUCUGAGCUUUAUGAGGGGACAGUUUCUUGUAUCUUGUACUCCUGAGCUCCUGGUAUACUCUAAUGUCUAGCCAACCCUAAGUAAAUGGAGUGAGCGACGUGUAAAUGUCUUUAUGGUUUGACAUUUUAUUCAUCUUGAGCAUUGUAAAAGUGGCUGGUAGGAAUAAAGAACUGAAUUUUUAUUUUUUAUCUAAUUUAAAUUGCAACUAUGGACAGUGUUGCUGUAGCCACAGACUUGUUCUGUGGAUUACAGGAUACAUGGACAUUGAUUGCUUUCUCUUUGUACUGAGCAGUAAGGAAAUAAAACCUGAAGCUCUUUGGCCCUUUAAAUUUUAUUUAACUGCUUGUUUUAUUUUACUUUUUAUGUAUUUAGCUGAAAGCUAAAUCCAACCAUUUUUAAAGAUGUGCCUGCCUUGGACAACAAUGUGUUGAGAAACCAAGUGUUAAUGAGUUUGGAUUUCAAAAAAAAAAAAGCAUAAUGAAUUUUAGGGAGGUGAGAUUCUAUUAAACUGUUACAGGAGUUACAUAAUUAAAUAUAACAACUUUAAUUAGAAAUAGUUCUCUCUGAUAUAAAUGAACCCAGCUCUAAAUUUCAGUCCUAUACCUUUGGAGGAGCCCUAUGCAUCAUGUCUUCAGUUGUAGAAAACAGUAACUAAGUUUUAUCCUGAGGAAUUAUAAAUACCAAGAUUUUAACACCAAAUGCUUUUUAUGUGCUAAUACAGUAUCUUACACAUUUUAAUUAUUUAUUUAUUUAUUUUUGAGAUGGAGUCUUACCCUGUCACCCAGUCUGGCGUGCAAUGGCAUGAUCAUGACUCACGCAGCCUUGACUUCUUGGGCUCAAGUGAUCCUCCUGCCUCAGUCUCCUGAGUAGCUGGGACUACAGGCACAUGCUUCCAUGCCCAGUUUUUGUGUGUUUUUUUGUAGAGAUGGAGUUUUCCUGUGCUGCACAGGUUGGAACUCCAGGGCUUAAGUUAUCUUCCUGCCUAAGUCUCCCAAAGUCCUGGGAUUACAGGUGUGAGUCACUGCUCUGGGCCAUUGAAUAUCCUUUUAAAAAUACAUUUUAAUUUAAAGUUUUUCUUUAGAAAAUAAGACCCUUGGGUCAGUGGUCUUCAAACCUCCUGUGUGCAGAGACAGUUGCCUUACUUAAUGCAGAUUCCCAGACCACCGAAGAUGCUGAAUUCUUCUGGGGAAGGUGGAACCCCACAGGGCAGGCAGUAUAAUUCGGUAUCUUUUCAAGUUCAUUUGCUUACUCAGAUAGAACCCCAGGGCUAUAGUAUCCUAUUUACGUGCCAAAAAUGAUUAAAAUUUCAGAGAAAUUCUUCUCAAUUGUACAGUAUGUGUCCCUCAAUUUUUUUUUCUCAAAUGAACUGUUUUUUCCUCCCCCUAAAAAAUAACAGAAUGGGGAAACAUUUUGAAAGGCAAAGAGGAAUAGUAAUACUUUUGGAAACUUGCAGGUCAGUUUUUUUUUGUUUGUUUUAACAAGGAAUGUUGAAAUAUAUUUUCGAACAAGAGAAGUUCACCUUAUUUUUUGUUUCUCCUACUUAAUUGCAGUCCUUAAGGAAAGCGAUUUUUCACUCCUCAGUACCUAAGCACAGAGCUGGGAGCUCAAAAAAUGUUAGUUUUGUUGGUUUAUAUGUGAAAUUGAUUCUCAAGUAAUAGUUAAGCUCAGAAAACAUAACAACAAGGCUCCUUUUUGGGAGAGACUUCAGGGUCACAUUUAACCUAUGUCAAGUCUCCUAAUAUUCUAUUCAUAGAGGAAACUGAUGCCCCCUGGUCUCUGAAUACAUCUAUCCCAUCAUUCACUUCUUUGGGUUUCCUGUACUAACCAUUGCAAUUAGCCUCUUCCUGUGCUUUACUUCCUUGAGCUUUUUGUUUAAAUUAAUCAGCUACCUAGCUCCUUUUCAAGUAGUUACAUACUACUUCCUACACUUAUAAGACAAAUUUAUUAGGUAUAUUACACACUUGUACUUGCAUGAGAAAGCUGUUGAAGGUUUUUGGAGGGCUAGUGUGUAUGUGUUAGAUUUGCAAAAGUUAAACUAGUUAGGUUACUUCCAUCUAUUUUUUGUGAAUGGGGGUUUGGUGUAAUUAUAUAAUUCUGUUUUGCAACACUAGUUUGACUGUUAAGUUAGUUGUAGAGCACCUUGUUAGGUCCCAAAUCCAGAAGUCUGGUGGCAUUGGACUUUGCAGGUUGCUAACUUAGUGGCAUACUAAUUUAUAUUAGAGGGCAUACUUCUCAAGAAGACUUUUUUCCUUGUCCAUGACUCUCUGUUCUUGAGAUUAGAUAAUAUAUUGGAUUACUAGAGAAUUGUUAGUGAGCAGUGAAUCAACUAGUUUUGUUUUAUCUAGACCAGGGUUAAACCUAAUGAAUUCUUUCUGUUCUGUUAUGGAGUGUACUUUCUUAGUGACAAGAAAGACUUCCUGCCUCUGAUUUUUAUCUCAGUCAUGGUUACAUUCAAUAAUCCUGCUUUCCAGCGUGUUUCCUAGAGCUCAGUCAUCAGUCACCUUUCGUUUUCUGGUUUGGUUUUUUUUUUUUUUUUUCUU